UAACAAGGAUUCCCCUAGUAACUGCGAGUGAAGCGGGAUGAGCUCAAAUUUGAAAUCUGGCGGUCUUGUUACCGUCCGAGUUGUAAUCUGGAGAGGCGUUUUCCGCGUUGGACCGUGUACAAGUCUCCUGGAACGGAGCGUCAUAGAGGGUGAGAAUCCCGUCCAUGACACGGACCACCAAUGCUAUGUGAUACGCCCUCGAAGAGUCGAGUUGUUUGGGAAUGCAGCUCAAAAUGGGUGGUAAAUUCCAUCUAAAGCUAAAUAUUGGCGAGAGACCGAUAGCGAACAAGUACCGUGAGGGAAAGAUGAAAAGCACUUUGAAAAGAGAGUUAAACAGUACGUGAAAUUGUUGAAAGGGAAACGCUUGAAGUCAGUCGCGUUGCACGGAACUCAGCCUUGCUUCGGCUUGGUGUACUUUCUGUGUGACGGGUCAACGUCAAUUUUGACCGGCGGAGAAAGGCGAGGGGAAUGUAGCGCUGUUUCGGCGGCGUGUUAUAGCCCUUUGUUGUAUGCGUCGGUUGGGAUUGAGGACCGCAGCACGCCUGUAAAUUGGCCGGGGGUUCGCCCUACGUUACGUGCUUAGGAUGUUGGCAUAAUGGCUUUAAGCGACCCGUCUUGAAACACGGACCAAGGAGUCUAACAUGCUUGCGAGUGUUCGGGUGGUAAACCCUUGCGCGAAAUGAAAGUGAAAGUUGGGAACCUCCGCGAGGGGGUGCACCGACGCCCGGCCCUGACGUUCUCUGACGGUGCUGCGGUAGAGCAAGUAUGUUGGGACCCGAAAGAUGGUGAACUAUGCCUGAAUAGGGCGAAGCCAGAGGAAACUCUGGUGGAGGCUCGUAGCGAUUCUGACGUGCAAAUCGAUCGUCAAAUUUGGG
This 875-nucleotide ribosomal RNA is filed under the name Pseudoinonotus dryadeus. RNAcentral describes it as "eukaryotic LSU rRNA". It matches the Rfam family "Eukaryotic large subunit ribosomal RNA", at positions 66 to 915 of the family's 3401-position model. The record is from RNAcentral. Lineage: Eukaryota; Fungi; Basidiomycota; Agaricomycetes; Hymenochaetales; Hymenochaetaceae.